GGCAUUCUAAAAAUGAGCAGUCGAUACAUCGGGUUUCCCUACACUGUGGGUGAACAGGCCAACAUUAAAAGGCAAUUUGCAGCAAUGGCAGGUUUCCCAAAUGUGAUCGGUGCCAUUGACUGCACUCAUGUUGCUAUAAGGGCUCCAACCGAAAAUGAAUUUGUCUAUGUGAACUGUAAAAAUGUGCACACCUUCAAUGUACAAGUUAUUUGUGAGACGAACAUGGUUCUGACGAAACAUAGUGGCACGGUGGCCUGGCUCGACACAUGACGCAUUCAUCCUGACGCAGAGCAGUGUAGGGAGAAGACUGCAGGCCGGCGCUGGACGUGAUGGCUGGCUCCUUGGUGACAGUGGCUACCCCCUGAGGCGAUGGCUCCUCACCCCAUUUACGAACCCGCAGAGCGAGGAGGAGGUGCGCUACAACAUCACCCAUGCGCGCGGGCGCUCCGUUGUGGAGCGAGCCAUCGGCCUCCUCAAAUCACCAGGACCCCGACACACAGCCGCCACCUCGACAUGAGGAACACCAGCAGGGCGCAAGGCUCCGUGAACGCGUCAUGCAGCGGAUAACAAGACAACACAGUGUCAGUCAGGACGCGGCCACUGGCAGGAACGCCAUGCGCUCUGGUGCUGGUUCUGGGGACAGCUAAGCCUGCAGCCGCGGUGCCAGACCACGACGUGCCCAGAACCUCCUCGUCGUCCGACGCUUCCAAGUGCAGGAUGAGCCGGAGAGGAAAAAAGAAAGUGUUCUGAUUAAAAUAGGGUUGGACUAUAUAAAAAUUGCGUU
Molecule: long non-coding RNA, 784 nt
Organism: Cololabis saira (Pacific saury)
Lineage: Eukaryota; Metazoa; Chordata; Actinopteri; Beloniformes; Belonidae
Exons: 4
Source: RefSeq, a predicted model, not a curated record